GACGAACGCUGGCGGCGUGCUUAACACAUGCAAGUCGAACGGAAAGGCCCUGCUUUUGUGGGGUGCUCGAGUGGCGAACGGGUGAGUAACACGUGAGUAACCUGCCCUUGACUUUGGGAUAACUUCAGGAAAAUGGGGCUAAUACCGGAUAGGAGCUCCUGCUGCAUGGUGGGGGUUGGAAAGUUUCGGCGGUUGGGGAUGGACUCGCGGCUUAUCAGCUUGUUGGUGGGGUAGUGGCUUACCAAGGCUUUGACGGGUAGCCGGCCUGAGAGGGUGACCGGCCACAUUGGGACUGAGAUACGGCCCAGACUCCUACGGGAGGCAGCAGUGGGGAAUAUUGCACAAUGGGCGGAAGCCUGAUGCAGCAACGCCGCGUGCGGGAUGACGGCCUUCGGGUUGUAAACCGCUUUCGCCUUUGACGAAGCGUGAGUGACGGUAAUGGGUAAAGAAGCACCGGCUAACUACGUG
RNAcentral lists this ribosomal RNA (468 nucleotides) under uncultured bacterium. RNAcentral's name for it is "partial 16S ribosomal RNA". It matches the Rfam family "Bacterial small subunit ribosomal RNA", at positions 28 to 507 of the family's 1533-position model. The record is from RNAcentral.